GCCCUUUUGGCUCAGUGGAUAGAGCGCCAGCCUGCAAACUGAAGGGUUCUGGGUUCGAUUCCAGUCAAGGGCA
Myotis brandtii (Brandt's bat) is the source of this 73-nucleotide non-coding RNA. NCBI's taxonomy places the organism in Eukaryota, Metazoa, Chordata, Mammalia, Chiroptera, Vespertilionidae. The record is from Rfam.